This 80-nucleotide transfer RNA is filed under the name Cordylochernes scorpioides. RNAcentral's name for it is "tRNA-Thr". The stretch from base 14 to 71 matches the Rfam family "tRNA", at positions 8 to 63 of the family's 71-position model. Rfam says of the family: Transfer RNA (tRNA) molecules are approximately 80 nucleotides in length. Their secondary structure includes four short double-helical elements and three loops (D, anti-codon, and T loops). The record is from RNAcentral. Lineage: Eukaryota; Metazoa; Arthropoda; Arachnida; Pseudoscorpiones; Chernetidae.
AUUUAGCAAUCAUUAGCCUAGUGGACAUGGCAUCUGCCCGGUAAGCGGAACACAGUGGGUUCGAUUCCCAUCCCUGGACA